CCCGGCACAAGCGGUGGAGCAUGUGGUUAAUUCGAUGCAACGCGAAGAACCUUACCUACUCUUGACAUCCAGAGAAUUUGCUAGAGAUAGCUUAGUGCCUUCGGGAACUCUGAGACAGGUGCUGCAUGGCUGUCGUCAGCUCGUGUUGUGAAAUGUUGGGUUAAGUCCCGCAACGAGCGCAACCCUUAUCCUUUGUUGCCAGCGAGUAAUGUCGGGAACUCAAAGGAGACUGCCGGUGAUAAACCGGAGGAAGGUGGGAUGACGUCAAGUCAUCAUGGCCCUUACGAGUAGGGCUACACACGUGCUACAAUGGCAUAUACAAAGAGAAGCGAACUCGCGAGAGCAAGCGGACCUCAUAAAGUAUGUCGUAGUCCGGAUUGGAGUCUGCAACUCGACUCCAUGAAGUCGGAAUCGCUAGUAAUCGUAGAUCAGAAUGCUACGGUGAAUACGUUCCCGGGCCUU
Molecule: ribosomal RNA, 462 nt
Filed under: uncultured Enterobacteriaceae bacterium
Lineage: Bacteria; Pseudomonadati; Pseudomonadota; Gammaproteobacteria; Enterobacterales; Enterobacteriaceae
Description: bacterial SSU rRNA
Rfam family: Bacterial small subunit ribosomal RNA
Source: RNAcentral